UGCAAUGGGCUCAGCUCAAUGGUGAA
This 26-nucleotide non-coding RNA is filed under the name Homo sapiens (human). The record is from RNAcentral. Lineage: Eukaryota; Metazoa; Chordata; Mammalia; Primates; Hominidae.